GUAACAAAUUAUUUGCAAUCUAGCCUUGUGUGUAAGUUUCAGGCGAGAUUAAUUCCACAUUAUUAGCAUUUGCAAGUAAAAAGUAUUAGCACACGUCGUCACGGAUGUGGAUUAAAAUUAUUAUUUUUAAUUGGUUUUCAAACAAAGUGAGACGACAGUGAUUUGAAUUAUUUGCCACUAAUUUAAUACGGUUUGAUUUAUUGUGCUUAGAAAAUUGUAUAAUAUACAGUGAGAUAGUGGUUCCUCAGUUUCUAACAAUUUUCAUCAUUCGAUAGUUUCUGGGCUGCAUGUCAAAUGUCCAAAUUUAAUUUGGAGAAAUGAAAUUUUUGAUCCAAAGUCGGCUUGUAGAUUUGUAAGUUGGGUCACACACCACUAGAAAUAUGUUGCGUAUCUAUCAAUCAACAAAUUAUGGGGAAGAAGAAGAAGACAAUUGUGUUGUCACCACAAUUAAAGGAUGUUACGCUCAACCUUGUCAACCAAUGUCUUCCGGGCUAAGGAAUACAAAAUCAGGCAGCUAUUUAGGAAAUGCCAUCAGCGGUCGUGUCAUUCAUUCUGAACAAAAAUAUUGGGGGCCGUUACUAUGUUCCCUUGAAUACGAAACCUGCGACAAGGGGGACCGUUCAUAAAUUACGCAACGCAAAAAUUGUGAUUUUAUAGAUCCCCUAUCUUCUUUAACAUGUAACACAAAAACACGAUAUCAGUUUAGUCUUAUACCCUCCCCCUCUCGCGUUCCGUAAUUUAUGAACGGCCCCAACUGGCCCACGGGCCACCUGUUCCUAUAUUUGCCACCCUUACAUUCGAUGCUGACUCAAAUCCAUUGCAUUCAAUAUGAGAACGGGUUUAGAACCACUAGCCUCGUGGAACCUACUUCGGUACACUCUUCAUAAAAGUUAUGGAAAUAUGUGUAUAUUACAUAAGGCUGAGUAAAAAAGGAUGAAACCACAAUUGGGUAAAAUAUACACACCAGUUGGGCAAAUUUUACACAAUGGUUGGAUAAAUUUUAUCCAAUUGUUAUCCUUUUUCUCAACCCUGGGUAAAUUUUUCAUAGCUUUUAUUUAGAAUGUAUAUAUAUGUGCAUACCUAUAGAUAUACCUACAUACAUAUAACAUGCAUAUAGAGAUAACAGUAUAGUUCUGUACAUUCAAAAUAGUAAUAUUUUAAGCUUUUGUCACACGCACACUUUUUGUGAAAACAAGGUAAAACUUUCACGAACAAAUUUACACAACUUUUACUCAGAGUGUAAGAACAGCAUCCGUUCGAAUAUGUAUAGGUUGAACUUUUGAAUCUUGGUUGCAGCAACAUUACUGUUGAAAGAGUAACCAUUCCGUGCGGUGGUUGUAUUAAUGCAGACCAUUUUCGCCUGACACAAUUUGUCCGGACAAAGUCUAAUCCUACCCGUCCCGGUGAUUGAGAAAAAUCUCAAGUAAUCACAUGGGUGGGGGAGGUUAAUGAGAUCAUAAAAUGUCGUUAACACAUUCUUCGUCUUAUUUAAAUGCUCUUGUUUCAAACGGUCUGAUUUAUUCGUAAAAUGAUUUUUACGUAAUAGGUAUAUUUACGUAUAAUCUGUGCAACACUUAUCGAUGAGCCACUAAAUAAGGAAUCAAGAUCUAUCAAUAAAUUUAGUUAAUUCGUACAGAUAUGUUUGAAAGUAUAUGUAUAAACUAUUAGACUUACAUAUUAGUAGAAGAUAUUUACGUAAGAGGUAUGUUUACGUAUUAUAUUUGGUAUGGGUUAUCAAAAAGUUAAUGAAGUUGCGAUAAAUUGACACUUCGAUUUCCAAUUAAUAUUCAAUCUCAUAUUCGCAUUUUAUUUUCGUAGUAGUGAAAUAUAUUUUAGGUAUGCAACUCCCAUCUGAUAAAAUCGUCGGCAGUGGAUAAAAAUUUAAAACAUAAAUCCAAAUAAAUAUUGUACACACAAAGACCUGACAAUGUAAAAUAAAAUUCGAAACCUGUCGUUUUUGAGAUUGAAUAUUAAUUGAAAAUCGAUGUUUUAAUUUGUCACAGCUUCGUUUACAUUUUGACAACCCAUACUAAUCCAGAAAGGGAACGUCCAUAUACUACGUUUGCAAAUGGGUGGGUGGGUCGGUUUUGGCUGCCUAUCUUACUUGUGUUAAGCUUAACAUGAGAAGGAUAGGGAAGGGGUGGGUGGAUCUGAAAAUCUCGGUUUACUGCAAACGUAGUAUAUGGACAUUCCCAAAUAAUUAUACGCAGUACAUAUUUUCAUAUGCAGCACCAUAUAUAAGCAAACGAUAUUUACGUAAGAGGUAUGUUUACGUAGUAUCUAACAAAAUAUGAGUAACACGUAUUAAUCAGUGGCGGAUGAAUAGGGAAGGUGGGUAAGGGGACCUGGAAGUGAGAUUAUUAUAAUAUUCCCAACGAAGUGCUAUCAUCGAAAUUCGGAAAAUAAAUUUACUGAUAAUGUUCCAAAUAGUUAGAGAACUAAGCAGGUUGUUAUAUGGAUCAAAUAGAUGUAUAAAAUCCCAACGUGUUUGUUUGGGUGACUCGGAUACUUGUUUACGUGAAAAAAUACAGUUUCUGAGACUUAUGUAUGCGUCACAGAAAAACUCAUCUAGGGGUCCAACGAUGGCUUAAUCUGCCACUGUUAUUAAUGAGCCUUAUCAAAUAGGUAAGGCACCGAAGAUGUAUUAAUAAAUUUAGUUAAUACGUCCAGAUAUUUGAAUAAUCUGUAAAUAACUUUUAAUAAUAGAAGUAGAUGAUCUUUACGUACGAGGUAAAUAUAUUCACGUACUAAAUAUAUAACACUUAUCAUUAAUAAGUUGUCAAUGAGCUUUAACCAGUAGGUACGGAACUAAAAAUCUAUUGCAUACAUUAUAAAUUAAUAUAAUUAACAAAUAUAAUUAAUAAACUAAAUUUAUUUAAUCAAUUUCAUUUAAUUUGUGUUACUUAAUUUAAUAUACAGAUAUCUGAAUAAUGUAUAAAUAAUUACGUACAAUAAAAGUAACUUGUUGCGAA
Folsomia candida is the source of this 2972-nucleotide long non-coding RNA. RefSeq lists it as uncharacterized. The record is from RefSeq and is a predicted model, not a curated record. NCBI's taxonomy places the organism in Eukaryota, Metazoa, Arthropoda, Collembola, Entomobryomorpha, Isotomidae. The transcript has 3 exons.